Molecule: ribosomal RNA, 2773 nt
Filed under: Escherichia coli
Lineage: Bacteria; Pseudomonadati; Pseudomonadota; Gammaproteobacteria; Enterobacterales; Enterobacteriaceae
Description: bacterial LSU rRNA
Rfam family: Bacterial large subunit ribosomal RNA
Source: RNAcentral
AGCGUACACGGUGGAUGCCCUGGCAGUCAGAGGCGAUGAAGGACGUGCUAAUCUGCGAUAAGCGUCGGUAAGGUGAUAUGAACCGUUAUAACCGGCGAUUUCCGAAUGGGGAAACCCAGUGUGUUUCGACACACUAUCAUUAACUGAAUCCAUAGGUUAAUGAGGCGAACCGGGGGAACUGAAACAUCUAAGUACCCCGAGGAAAAGAAAUCAACCGAGAUUCCCCCAGUAGCGGCGAGCGAACGGGGAGCAGCCCAGAGCCUGAAUCAGUGUGUGUGUUAGUGGAAGCGUCUGGAAAGGCGCGCGAUACAGGGUGACAGCCCCGUACACAAAAAUGCACAUGCUGUGAGCUCGAUGAGUAGGGCGGGACACGUGGUAUCCUGUCUGAAUAUGGGGGGACCAUCCUCCAAGGCUAAAUACUCCUGACUGACCGAUAGUGAACCAGUACCGUGAGGGAAAGGCGAAAAGAACCCCGGCGAGGGGAGUGAAAAAGAACCUGAAACCGUGUACGUACAAGCAGUGGGAGCACGCUUAGGCGUGUGACUGCGUACCUUUUGUAUAAUGGGUCAGCGACUUAUAUUCUGUAGCAAGGUUAACCGAAUAGGGGAGCCGAAGGGAAACCGAGUCUUAACUGGGCGUUAAGUUGCAGGGUAUAGACCCGAAACCCGGUGAUCUAGCCAUGGGCAGGUUGAAGGUUGGGUAACACUAACUGGAGGACCGAACCGACUAAUGUUGAAAAAUUAGCGGAUGACUUGUGGCUGGGGGUGAAAGGCCAAUCAAACCGGGAGAUAGCUGGUUCUCCCCGAAAGCUAUUUAGGUAGCGCCUCGUGAAUUCAUCUCCGGGGGUAGAGCACUGUUUCGGCAAGGGGGUCAUCCCGACUUACCAACCCGAUGCAAACUGCGAAUACCGGAGAAUGUUAUCACGGGAGACACACGGCGGGUGCUAACGUCCGUCGUGAAGAGGGAAACAACCCAGACCGCCAGCUAAGGUCCCAAAGUCAUGGUUAAGUGGGAAACGAUGUGGGAAGGCCCAGACAGCCAGGAUGUUGGCUUAGAAGCAGCCAUCAUUUAAAGAAAGCGUAAUAGCUCACUGGUCGAGUCGGCCUGCGCGGAAGAUGUAACGGGGCUAAACCAUGCACCGAAGCUGCGGCAGCGACGCUUAUGCGUUGUUGGGUAGGGGAGCGUUCUGUAAGCCUGCGAAGGUGUGCUGUGAGGCAUGCUGGAGGUAUCAGAAGUGCGAAUGCUGACAUAAGUAACGAUAAAGCGGGUGAAAAGCCCGCUCGCCGGAAGACCAAGGGUUCCUGUCCAACGUUAAUCGGGGCAGGGUGAGUCGACCCCUAAGGCGAGGCCGAAAGGCGUAGUCGAUGGGAAACAGGUUAAUAUUCCUGUACUUGGUGUUACUGCGAAGGGGGGACGGAGAAGGCUAUGUUGGCCGGGCGACGGUUGUCCCGGUUUAAGCGUGUAGGCUGGUUUUCCAGGCAAAUCCGGAAAAUCAAGGCUGAGGCGUGAUGACGAGGCACUACGGUGCUGAAGCAACAAAUGCCCUGCUUCCAGGAAAAGCCUCUAAGCAUCAGGUAACAUCAAAUCGUACCCCAAACCGACACAGGUGGUCAGGUAGAGAAUACCAAGGCGCUUGAGAGAACUCGGGUGAAGGAACUAGGCAAAAUGGUGCCGUAACUUCGGGAGAAGGCACGCUGAUAUGUAGGUGAAGUCCCUCGCGGAUGGAGCUGAAAUCAGUCGAAGAUACCAGCUGGCUGCAACUGUUUAUUAAAAACACAGCACUGUGCAAACACGAAAGUGGACGUAUACGGUGUGACGCCUGCCCGGUGCCGGAAGGUUAAUUGAUGGGGUUAGCGCAAGCGAAGCUCUUGAUCGAAGCCCCGGUAAACGGCGGCCGUAACUAUAACGGUCCUAAGGUAGCGAAAUUCCUUGUCGGGUAAGUUCCGACCUGCACGAAUGGCGUAAUGAUGGCCAGGCUGUCUCCACCCGAGACUCAGUGAAAUUGAACUCGCUGUGAAGAUGCAGUGUACCCGCGGCAAGACGGAAAGACCCCGUGAACCUUUACUAUAGCUUGACACUGAACAUUGAGCCUUGAUGUGUAGGAUAGGUGGGAGGCUUAGAAGUGUGGACGCCAGUCUGCAUGGAGCCGACCUUGAAAUACCACCCUUUAAUGUUUGAUGUUCUAACGUGGACCCGUAAUCCGGGUUGCGGACAGUGUCUGGUGGGUAGUUUGACUGGGGCGGUCUCCUCCUAAAGAGUAACGGAGGAGCACGAAGGUUGGCUAAUCCUGGUCGGACAUCAGGAGGUUAGUGCAAUGGCAUAAGCCAGCUUGACUGCGAGCGUGACGGCGCGAGCAGGUGCGAAAGCAGGUCAUAGUGAUCCGGUGGUUCUGAAUGGAAGGGCCAUCGCUCAACGGAUAAAAGGUACUCCGGGGAUAACAGGCUGAUACCGCCCAAGAGUUCAUAUCGACGGCGGUGUUUGGCACCUCGAUGUCGGCUCAUCACAUCCUGGGGCUGAAGUAGGUCCCAAGGGUAUGGCUGUUCGCCAUUUAAAGUGGUACGCGAGCUGGGUUUAGAACGUCGUGAGACAGUUCGGUCCCUAUCUGCCGUGGGCGCUGGAGAACUGAGGGGGGCUGCUCCUAGUACGAGAGGACCGGAGUGGACGCAUCACUGGUGUUCGGGUUGUCAUGCCAAUGGCACUGCCCGGUAGCUAAAUGCGGAAGAGAUAAGUGCUGAAAGCAUCUAAGCACGAAACUUGCCCCGAGAUGAGUUCU